This 750-nucleotide ribosomal RNA is filed under the name uncultured Bacillota bacterium. RNAcentral's name for it is "bacterial SSU rRNA". It matches the Rfam family "Bacterial small subunit ribosomal RNA", at positions 58 to 818 of the family's 1533-position model. The record is from RNAcentral. Lineage: Bacteria; Bacillati; Bacillota.
CAAGUCGAGCGGGGAGUAAGAUUUCGGUUUUACUUCUAGCGGCGAACGGUCGCGUAACACGUAAGCAACCUGCCCCGAAGACCGGGACAACAGCUCGAAAGGGCUGCUAAUACCGGAUGUGGCCAUUGGGGGACAUCCCCUGGUGAUUAAAUCGAGCAAUCGGCUUCGGGAGGGGCUUGCGGCCUAUCAGCUAGUUGGUGGGGUAACGGCCUACCAAGGCGACGACGGGUAGCUGGUCUGAGAGGACGGCCAGCCGGACUGGGACUGAGAUACGGCCCAGACUCCUACGGGGGGCAGCAAUUAGGAAUCUUGCGCAAUGGGCGAAAGCCUGACGCAGCGACGCCGCGUGGAGGAGGAAGUCCUUCGGGAUGUAAACUCCUUUUUCCGGGGAAGAAACAAAUGACGGUACCCGGUGAAUAAGCCCCGGCUAACUACGUGCCAGCAGCCGCGGUAAUACGUAGGGGGCGAGCGUUGUCCGAAGUUACUGGGCGUAAAGCGCGCGUAGGCGGGGGGUUAAGUGAGAGGUGAAAGGCUGGGGCUCAACCUCAUGCAGUGCCUCUCAUACUGGCCUUCUUGAGGGCGGUAGGGAGAAGUGGAAUGGCUGGUGUAGCGGUGAAAUGCGUAGAUAUCAGUCGGAACACCGGUGGCGAAGGCGGCUUCUUGGGCCGUUCCUGACGCUGAUGCGCGAAAGCUGGGGGAGCGAACGGGAUUAGAUACCCCGGUAGUCCCAGCCGUAAACGAUGGAUACUA